Molecule: long non-coding RNA, 2993 nt
Organism: Gasterosteus aculeatus aculeatus (three-spined stickleback)
Lineage: Eukaryota; Metazoa; Chordata; Actinopteri; Perciformes; Gasterosteidae
Source: Ensembl
ACUCUGGAACCGCCUCAAGGACCGAGGACGUCCUCAAAGACCUUCUGGGGUCCGUCGGAGGAGGAACUGGACACCACCCAAAGACCUCCGACGCUCCCAAAAUGACUACUGGCAGUUACUCGAUGUGGCCUACCAGUGGAACCUCCUGGAGGACUGUAGAAGACCUUUAGAACUCUGACAAGAACAAAUUGUCUAGUUAAAGAGCAAUACAACCAUCCAAGGACCCCUUAGAAUUUCCUAUUGGACCUCAAGAACCCGAUAGAAUUCAAUUCUUGGACCAUUCAGGUGUCCUAAGAACUUCCAGGAGACCUUCGUUGACUUUGUGAGCCUCCCCCCCCCCUGUUAAAAAACAUGCUGAAUGCGUCGCCGAUGUGGUGACAAAGGGUCUUUUACCUGAGGCCUGAACCUCGGUGAUGUACUGCUGAAGGUCGUGACCCUGCUGGAUGACCUCAUAGAUCAUGUUGUUCAUGGCCAGCCUUCGCUCCAUGUGCCUGCAGAUCAAUAAUCUCCAUCAGUGCCUCGCAGUGGACCCUUUUUUAACGUUCUGUUACUUUACUUGGUUACCUGUGGAUGCGCUGCUGCGCUAGCGUUAGCAUGUCGGCGCUAGCUUCCGCUAGCCGCGCCUGGCCCAGCACUAGCUUGUCCUGGUUAGCGUCAGCGAGCCGCGAUGACGCUAGCCUCUCUGCGGAGAAGUCCUGGGACUGUUUGUGAAGGUCCUGCUUCCAGGCGUCCAUUUCCCCCGUUACCUAGGAAACGGUGACACACGUCAGGUGGGGGGCACCCUGACGUAUUGAUGGUCAAUAAACCUCGUACCUCCAGGGUGCACUGCUGCAGGAUGCGGAGCUGCAGGUAAACGUCCAGUCGGAUCUUCCUCUGGUGGAAGAGUUCUUCCAGCUGAACGUGGGACUCCUCCAGCUGCUGAAGCACUGUCUCCACAUGGACCAACGAGCUGCCCUGAGGCCUGAAACAAACGCACCUCAAAGGGUUAUAGAUAUCCGGCCACUUGGACAGAGGCCAUUUGAUGAAGAAAACAAUCACCCCUCAAAUCAAAAUGCUGAAAGCGAAAUGCUAGAAAUUAAUUUGAAAGAUUUUUUUAGUAGUAAUAUUAGUAGUUAGUAGUAGUAGUAGUUAGUAUUAGUGAUAAUUGUAAUUGUAGUAGGGUUAGUAGAGGGCUCGAGGGGGUGUUGGUCUUCUGUGACGGGGGUUUAGAACAUGGUUGGGGGAUAUGGGGAGCUGCUCAAAGCGAUUUUAGUUAAGUUAGGGAGCAUUCCAACAAUGAGUGGGUGCGUGUGUUUUACCACUAAGCAAUGUAAUCAUUGUUGGAAUGCUCCCUAACUUAACUUGUUUGAGGUGUGGAUUCUGUGUAAAUUUACAAACAAAUAAAACAAGCACACCCACAAAGGAUAUGAAAUUACCAACAAAAGUGAAAAUCAAACCCACCCAAACUACAAGAAAAAGCCGACUCACAAUACGCAAACACCAAAACAAACACACCCUUCAGAUAACUACAAAACAAAAGCUCCAAAAUUGCAAAAUAGAAACGCCCCCCGGACUACAAAACAAACAUACCCAUUUUCUCCACAGUAAAUCAUAAAUCAAACAUACGCAAACUAAAAUAAAAGCACCCAACAGAAAAAUACUACAUAAAUGCUUGCAAAAUACAAAAUAAAACCAUGAACCCACGACUACAAAACCAACAGUGUCCACAGAUUCACCAGCGCCAAACUGACGCAAGCGAAUUAAACGCACCCACACUCUGCGCGUACCUGAGUUGCAGGAUGAGGUCUUCUCCUUCCCUGAUGACACUCAUUGCAGCUUCCUGCGGGUCAGGGUUAGAGUCGGGGUUAGUGUGAGGGUUAGCGCCGUGGGGUCAGAGGCAACAGGGGUGUUAGGGUGUUACGACAGGGUCGAAGGUCAGCGGGCUCACCUGCGUAUUCGCCUGCUGCUGCUGCUGCUGGCUGAUCAAAGCCUGAAGAGCUUCAACGGUGUCGGGACAAACACAGAGGUCAGAGGAGAGCUGCUUCUGGAGGCCCUCCAUCCACACUGAGAGCUGGGGGGGGCAUACCAAGGCUCAAUGAACACAGUCUGUGAAUCCAUGCACUUAUUUUGACAAAUGCCUUUCAGAUGUCAGAGCAGGAGGAGGAAGAGGAGUCAGGAUAGAUGAGGAGGUGGAGGAGGAAACAAAAGCGAGGUAGGAGGUGCCGAGGAGUUGAGGUGGAGGCGGGACAUAGAAGGUGUACUACCUCCUUGGUGUGUGUGUAGAAAGACACAGCGAGGUCCAGCAGCAGCUUCCUCUGUUCAACUCUCUGAAUGAACGCCUGCACACACACACACACACACAAUGAGAACACUUCCUGUAGCUGUCCUUCAGAAUAAAAGCCCCCCUGGUAUUUGUUCACCUGCAUGCGGAGCUCCAGGUCUCUGGCCGCCUGGUAGAUCUCUUCCUCCUUACACUCUCCAGACUGAGCCAGCUGAUCGGCUGCUUCCAGAAGCUUCUCUGCAUUAGUGUAGGUGUUCUGUGACACACACACAUCAGUUCGUGCAGGUCUGGGUAGCGUUCAGGUAGUCCGGGUCUAGGUGGGGUUCAGGUAGUCCGGUCUAGGUGGGGUUCAGGUAGUCCAGGUCUGGGUAGCGUUCAGGUAGUCCGGUCUAGGUGGGGUUCAGGUAGUCCAGGUCUGGGUAGCGUUCAGGUAGUCCAGGUCUAGGUAUCAUUCAGGUAGUCCAGGUCUAGGUGGUGUGUAGGUAGUCCAGGUCUGGGUAGCAUCCAGGUAGUCCGGGUCUAGGUAGGGUUCAGGUAGUCCGGGUCUAGGUAGGGUUCAGGUAGUCCAGGUCUAGGUAGCGUCCGGUAGUACAGGUCUAGGUUGGGUUCAGGUAGUCCAGGUCUAGGUGGUGUUCAGGUAGUCCAGGUCUAGGUGGGGUUCAGGUAGUCCAGGUCUAGGUGGUGUUCAGGUAGUCCAGGUCUAGGUGGGGUUCAGGUAGUCCAGGUCUAGGUG